GAUGAACGCUGGCGGCGUGCCUAAUACAUGCAAGUCGAGCGAACAGACGAGGAGCUUGCCCCUCUGACGUUAGCGGCGGACGGGUGAGUAACACGUGGAUAACCUACCUAUAAGACUGGGAUAACUUCGGGAAACCGGAGCUAAUACCGGAUAAUAUAUUGAACCGCAUGGUUCAAUAGUGAAAGACGGUUUUGCUGUCACUUAUAGAUGGAUCAGCGCCGCAUUAGCUAGUUGGUAAGGUAACGGCUUACCAAGGCAACGAUGCGUAGCCGACCUGAGAGGGUGAUCGGCCACACUGGAACUGAGACACGGUCCAGACUCCUACGGGAGGCAGCAGUAGAAAAUCUUCCGCAAUGGGCGAAAGCCUGACGGGGCAACGCCGCGUGAGUGAUGAAGGUCUUCGGUUCGUAAAACUCUGUUAUUAGGGAAGAACAAAUGUAUAAGUAACUAUGCACGUCUUGACGGUACCUAGUCAAAAAGCCACGGCUAACUACGUG
This 497-nucleotide ribosomal RNA is filed under the name uncultured bacterium. RNAcentral's name for it is "partial 16S ribosomal RNA". It matches the Rfam family "Bacterial small subunit ribosomal RNA", at positions 28 to 507 of the family's 1533-position model. The record is from RNAcentral.